AACGAACGCUGGCGGCAUGCCUAACACAUGCAAGUCGAACGAGACCUUCGGGUCUAGUGGCGCACGGGUGCGUAACGCGUGGGAACCUGCCCUUAGGUUCGGAAUAACUCCCCGAAAGGGGUGCUAAUACCGGAUAAUGUCUUCGGACCAAAGAUUUAUCGCCUUUGGAUGGGCCCGCGUUGGAUUAGCUAGUUGGUAGGGUAAAAGCCUACCAAGGCGACGAUCCAUAGCUGGUCUGAGAGGAUGAUCAGCCACACUGGGACUGAGACACGGCCCAGACUCCUACGGGAGGCAGCAGUGGGGAAUAUUGUACAAUGGGCGAAAGCCUGAUCCAGCAAUGCCGCGUGAGUGAUGAAGGCCUUAGGGUUGUAAAGCUCUUUUACCCGGGAUGAUAAUGACAGUACCGGGAGAAUAAGCUCCGGCUAACUCCGUG
This 433-nucleotide ribosomal RNA is filed under the name uncultured bacterium. RNAcentral describes it as "partial 16S ribosomal RNA". It matches the Rfam family "Bacterial small subunit ribosomal RNA", at positions 29 to 507 of the family's 1533-position model. The record is from RNAcentral.